AGGGUGUACCCUGGGCUAAGCUAAAUCCACAGCUGCAGAAGGAAACAAUCCCUACUGCCUCAGCUGGUAAUUGCUGAAUCUGGCUGUCCUUGUUGAAGAUCCUUGUUGCUGAUCAAGGAGACAUAGGUGAGAAAAAUACUGGAUGCUUGAAGAACCUUUUCCUUCAUGAAUGAACUUCAUUACUGUACUAAUGACAUCUGACUGAAUUUUGGAGAUAGCUUUGUGUACUGCAGGCAAGGAAGUUGGCAGUGAGCACUGUCUGGAAAACAGAACUAGACCUCCAACAGCAUUGGUAGAAUAAUUUUUGCACUAUCCCUGAAAGUCUGUGUGAGAGAAGAGUAAAAGAACCCAGCAGAAAUGUAGUAACGAUCUAGGAUCAGAGAUUUCUAGUGAUAAAAGACAGUGCACACACACUCAGGUCAAGACCCUGAAGACAUGCUGAAGAUUUAAGCCACUGAAAUAAAGAAUGAAUGAUGCAAGGGUGGCAUGCUGGAACAGCGGAGUUUUCACCAUAAGCCUGAGUCUGAAUCCUUUAAAAAUAAUGACACAAAAACUGUAUUGUGCUCAAAAGCUACCCUCAGCUACAAUGAGGACUUGGUCUUAUUUCAAAAACUUCAGAAGGAAUGAAAUCAGCAUGUAGAAGUUGAAGUAAUCUAACUGGAGUACUUCAGUAGGAAGGUUUUCAAAAUGGAUGCCUGGAAACCACUUCUUCUUCUCUACAUUUUCACCUUCUCUACAGAGGCAGAGGAGUCUGGUAAUACACUAAAGAAAUUACUCUUCAAGUUAAUAGUAAUAUUCCUUUUCUACAUUUGCACCCAAUGUCAACAGGAAAUGAAGAAUUUAAGAACAUUUUUUCUAACUAUUAAUUAUAAUUAGGGAUAAUGUGGUCGGUUUUUAUGAAACAUAUAACUACAAUAGUAUAGUUUUCUUAAAAAUGCAAAAUUUAAUGGUACAGCUCAUUACAUUUUGUUUGUACAUGCAUGCUAAAGUUUCAUAUUUGCAAAAGUAAUAUAAAUCUCUUACAGUUAUAAGAGUGCCAAAAGCAAGAUAUUUAGCAGUUCCAUUUUGGUAGUCAGGUCUUCUGGAAGAUCUGUUUGAGAAGAGUUCUGCCCAGUUGCAGGAUAUUUUCUGCAUGACUGUUGAUUUGAGGAAAUAAUGACUGUUCCUUCCAUGCUCUGCUAGUGUUAUAUGCUUCUGGAAUUUGUGGAAACACAUGAGUUUCACACCUACUACAAAGAAAUAUGCUUAGUACUCCUUAUGUUAAUGUGAACUUAUUUUUUUCCCCCUCAGAAAAUAAAUAUUGAUUAGCAAUGUAUGCAUGCAGAAUGGAGAGCUCAAAGUGCAUGACUAACUUUUCCUUUGUACUCUUGAGAGCAGGCCAACAUAUUCCAAUGGUUGUGUUUCACAUACAGGAGCGUUUAAUAUGCGUUAACUGCAGAUAAGUUCUGAGCAGACUGUGAAUGAAAAUCGUGUUGUGGAUUUCAGCACCUCUCCCUUUCCCAUGAAUGGUGUUGCAGAAGGAUGUAGCUUCUGACCUUCUGUAUGAUAAUCAGGGGAAAAGGAACUAGUGGGUGACGACAAAUUAGCAGAAUAGAUGGAAGGGUUUUUCUGCAAAAGGCCAAUAAGUCUUGGAUUCUGAAAAGCAAUUAGGAUUCAAAAUUACUUUUCUAUUAGAUUACACAACCUUUAAGGAAAGAGGAAAUUUACAACAUAUUUCUUCAGUCAGCAGGAAAGCUUCCAUGACAGACAUCAUUUUCUUGGUAGAUGGAUUCUGGAGUAUAGGGACAAAGAACUUCAUGAUCAUGCACAAUGAUCAAUGGGAGGACAAAAUCUGUGUUGGUGUGAUUCAGCACAGUGAUGUGACAUACACUGAAUUCUUGUUGAACACUUUUCAUAACAAAAAUGAUUCCUUAUAGAAGAUACAAAAAUUACAUUACAAAGGAGGCACCAAAACAGGGCAGAGCCUCUAGUGCUAGAGAAUCACUUCAUAGCAAGUGCUGGUAGCCAUAAAGAGGCUUGUCCCAAGCCUUUUUCAGUGAGUACUCUGCUGAGAGGGUAGAGGAUGCAGCAAUGGCUUUAAGGAGCAAUGGGAUCUAUGUCUUUGAAGCUAACAUAAGGAUGAUAAAAUCCCCCUUGAGAACUGUUUUUAAUAGGUGAUGAUGCAGGGAGACUUCACAGUGAAAAAUCUUGGUGCACUGAAAAUCAUCAUAAAUAAUGUCAAUCAGGUCUGUUAAUGCAAACAUCUCCCUGGUCAGGGUAAGGAACAAACCUCUUGUUGGGUAUAUAAUGACAAAUAUCCAUACAGUUUUCUGCAGUCCCUGAUAAAAGUACCUGAGCUAACUGCACAGCAGUGCAAUUGUUUUACCAAAGAGUACUGCCCACAUUUAAAAUUCGGAGUUAGUACUUUACUUCAGUCAAGAGCCACUACACUCCUUCCUAUGGUAAAUAACUUCUGAAGUAAGACAGUGUUUCACAUUAAGCCCUCAUAGUUCCUCAGUGUCUGAAGGGAGCCAGAGCAGAUACCCCCAGCAGGUAUCUUAAUAAACAAGAGGGAAACAGGCAAUUCAGUGAUACUUUAAAAAGAACCUCCUAGAAACAUUGCUUUGCCAUGUCCAGCUGACCACACUGCUUCAGUGGGAUUGUCAGCAGCCACUGUCUGUCAACAAAACUGAAAUCUCACAGAGCCACUGUACAGCGAGCGCAUCAGAAAAUCCAUCCAUGGAUUUGUAGGAGGUAUUGGCAAGAUGUGAAUAACAAACCCAUGGUAAUAGUGAAGUGCUACCCAAAAGUUUUUCCUAGAUCAGAAACAGAAAGUGGUAUCUCUUACUACAUCUUUUAGAUGGCAACAGUGGAUUGGAUGCCACACAGCCUUGAGAGGCUGCCAACACCAGAGAAAAUAAAGAUUCAGCUAUGCCUCAGUUAACACAGCAACUUUUAUCAAAUAUCACAUGCUGGUUUUGGGUCUGAGUUUAUUCUAACUUGGUGCUGCAUUGCCAGUUGCCUUAUCAUGUGGGAAGACUGAAGUACAGAACAAACACAGUUGCUCUUUAACAUUACAUAUUCAUGCCAGCUAUGUAGUUUGAUAAUACUGUAGAUGUGUUUGUUAAGUUGCAAAAAAGGAAAAUGGAGGGCAUGACAAAUCAAAAAGCUGAUAUCUUCUGACUGGUGUAAGUGCAUGACAUUGGUUGGGUAUGGCAAGAAAAGACAGUUCAGGAGCAUUUCUUCUCUCUUUGCUUAUCCUUGUAGGACUGUGACUGUCCUUUAAAGCUCCUGUUGUUUUCCUGUGUGUUAUGUUCACAUAGAUGUGAUAUUUUGCAUGUUUGUUCUCCUUGUUAUGCCAUAAAAUUGAUCCAACCCAGUUCUCCAGGUUUUGUUCCCUUUGUAAUUGGAAACUUACUGAGAAAGGAAUCCUGGGAUGACCACGCUGCUUGUCCAAGGUGUUUUGUAACAACAGCUGAACAUCCUAGGCUAGUGAGAUCUUGAACACCCCAAAACUGGCUGGUGUUUGCUGGGGUGUUGGGGGCCAAAAUGAAGAGCUGAACUUUUCUUCCUAAAGGCAGAAGCAACCUUGUGUGAAUUAUAUCUGCUCAGGUAGUUUGCAGAGAGGACAGCUGGAUCUGAUUCAGUAUGAGCUCUUCCACCCACUCGUUAUCCCAUCAAGAGCUGAGCAGACUUCCAGGUGAAGAAGCAUUCCCUGGCUCCUGCAAGCAGAGAGAGAGGGCUGCUGAGGAAGGAGAGUGCGCUGCCAUGGAGCAGUAUGACCGUAGCUGACGCAGUAGCACCUCCUGGUGUUUCAUGGCAGGGAACAGGGAGAUUUAAUGGGAGAUACAGCAGUAAACUUUAUAUAUAUAUACACAGGUACACGCUUGUUUAGAGAGAUAGAAGUUAAGGAAAGCAUAUUGGGUUUCAUCUCAGUGAUGCACAUAUUUAUUGCUAAGAUCUGCAUAAAUUUGUCUCAUAAAAUGAAGAUCAGCUUUCUU
Long non-coding RNA from Zonotrichia leucophrys gambelii, 3980 nucleotides. RefSeq lists it as uncharacterized. The transcript is spliced from 7 exons. The record is from RefSeq and is a predicted model, not a curated record. NCBI's taxonomy places the organism in Eukaryota, Metazoa, Chordata, Aves, Passeriformes, Passerellidae.